GAAAGAGAAAGAGAUGUUUCCGUGCAGUGCCCUAUAGAGCACGAAAUUGAAUCUGUUUUCCCAACCUGCUGGCAACAACUGAAGGAGACCAAUGGUCUCGGUUCAAGAUUUGACUGCAAGCCACUGACCAUAAAUACCCGUCACGUCGGCGCUGUCGAUUGCAUCAUGAUUACUAUUAUUGACGAUCCAAAUGUUGUCUAUAUAUCGUCGUGAUCGGAGCUGUUAAUCGACUUCGGAUGGUCAACAUUCUUGUAGGAAGAAUAAGAAAAGCUGGUUUGCUGAUGUUUGGAACAUAAAAACAAGUGAGGACCCCGGUGAAUAGCCAAACUGAUCUACGAACUACUGAAAAUAAACGGAACCUCCGAUCAACAGUACGAUUGAGGACGGAUUUGACAACGAGCUCAACAACGAUGGUCGAUCUCGUAGGAAUGUACACGCCGGAAAACACAUCCAAUAUGCACGCACAGAUGUUUAGGAUUUGCUCUGGUUGAUCCCAACACUUCCUUGCUGUUGAUGAAGCCUGUGCGAUCUCUGGAGGAGAGAAUGGAUCCACAAUAUUCUCGUUCCGAUUCCAAGCUAUUUGUAAUUCUAUAAAAACCACAUCAAAUUCGUCAACUCUCAGGAAAUUAAUCAUGCUGGCAGAGAGCGACUUUCCAGAUAUCACUUCCCAGCACUCCAGUAGUGGCCGAUCGGCGAAAAGAAGGACGAACCGUUCAUCAUCAUGAUGCUGAAAACAAAUAAGGCCGCACGUGGACGUUUGGUCGGCCUUCCUUUUUCAAAUAUCAGAUAUCUGCCCAAAAUAAUUGUGGGCUACUACUAUCAGUUUAUUUGCCGAUAAUUGGCAUUAAAAAUUUUGACAAAAAAGUUGAAUUACAAUCGGGCAGCAAAGUUGAUGGCAGAUUGUGUAUUAUUGGAAUGGGAUCGUCUUUUCUAUUUAUCGUUUUAGGUCUGACUAACUCGCUGCGCUUUUGCUUGUCAAUAAUCCAAUUAACAGUUCCAUGCGUGUGUCGAAAUGAAAUACAAAAAUGGCAGUAGGGUUCUGUAAAAGAAUCUACACUGCGAUUCAAUUAUUGCCACUGAACAGAUGAAUACCAUAGAUUGGACGAGAAGCUUCCCAGUGGAUGUUGAUGACAUGGCCAGUUUCAUUCAACGAUGGGACAGUCCU
Armigeres subalbatus is the source of this 1165-nucleotide long non-coding RNA. RefSeq lists it as uncharacterized. The transcript is spliced from 3 exons. The record is from RefSeq and is a predicted model, not a curated record. Lineage: Eukaryota; Metazoa; Arthropoda; Insecta; Diptera; Culicidae.